GGUUGGAGGGUGGAAUCAAGACCCAGAGGAGAGGGAUCUUGGGUCCCACAUCUCCUUUUCUGGUCCCCAG
This 70-nucleotide microRNA precursor is filed under the name Mesocricetus auratus (golden hamster). RNAcentral's name for it is "miRNA (ENSMAUG00000006298.1)". Lineage: Eukaryota; Metazoa; Chordata; Mammalia; Rodentia; Cricetidae. The record is from RNAcentral.